CGGUCCUAAGGUAGCGAAAUUCCUUGUCGGGUAAGUUCCGACCUGCACGAAUGGCGUAACGACUUCCCCGCUGUCUCCAACGUAGACUCAGCGAAAUUGAAUUCCCCGUGAAGAUGCGGGGUUCCCGCGGUUAGACGGAAAGACCCCGUGCACCUUUACUACAGCUUCGCACUGGCAUCAGGAUUGUGAUGUGCAGGAUAGGUGGUGGGCUUUGAAGCAGAGACGCAAGUCUUUGUGGAGCCUCCCUUGAGAUACCACCCUUCGCACUCUUGAUGUCUAACCGCGGUCCGUUAUCCGGAUCCGGGACCCUGCGUGGCGGGUAGUUUGACUGGGGCGGUCGCCUCCUAAAGAGUAACGGAGGCUCCCAAAGGUACCCUCAGCACGGUCGGCAAUCGUGCGUAGAGUGUAAAAGCAUAAGGGUGCUUGACUGCGAGACAUACAGGUCGAGCAGGCACGAAAGUGGGGUUUAGUGAUCCGGUGGCACCGCAUGGAAGGGCCAUCGCUCAAAGGAUAAAAGGUACUCCGGGGAUAACAGGCUUAUCGCGCCCAAGAGUUCAUAUCGACGGCGCGGUUUGGCACCUCGAUGUCGGCUCAUCGCAUCCUGGGGCUGGAGAAGGUCCCAAGGGUAUGGCUGUUCGCCAUUUAAAGCGGUACGCGAGC
RNAcentral lists this ribosomal RNA (660 nucleotides) under Ochromonas sp. CCMP1393. RNAcentral's name for it is "partial Bacterial large subunit ribosomal RNA". It matches the Rfam family "Bacterial large subunit ribosomal RNA", at positions 1946 to 2605 of the family's 2925-position model. The record is from RNAcentral. Lineage: Eukaryota; Chrysophyceae; Chromulinales; Chromulinaceae.